CUCGGUGUAGCUCAUCUGGUAGAGCGCCGCUUUGAAAAGGCGGAGGAACUGGUUCAAUUCCAGUCGCCGAGA
Molecule: transfer RNA, 72 nt
Filed under: Planctomycetaceae bacterium
Lineage: Bacteria; Pseudomonadati; Planctomycetota; Planctomycetia; Planctomycetales; Planctomycetaceae
Description: tRNA-Phe
Rfam family: tRNA
About the family: Transfer RNA (tRNA) molecules are approximately 80 nucleotides in length. Their secondary structure includes four short double-helical elements and three loops (D, anti-codon, and T loops).
Source: RNAcentral